AGGAAUCUUCCACAAUGGACGCAAGUCUGAUGGAGCAACGCCGCGUGAGUGAAGAAGGUUUUCGGACCGUAAAGCUCUGUUGUUGGUGAAGAAGGAUAGAGGUAGUAACUGGCCUUUAUUUGACGGUAAUCAACCAGAAAGUCACGGCUAACUACGUGCCAGCAGCCGCGGUAAUCGUAGGUGGCAAGCGUUGUCCGGAUUUAUUGGGCGUAAAGCGAGCGCAGGCGGAAGAAUAAGUCUGAUGUGAAAGCCCUCGGCUUAACCGAGGAAUUGCAUCGGAAACUGUUUUUCUUGAGUGCAGAAGAGGAGAGUAGAACUCCAUGUGUAGCGGUGGAAUGCGUAGAUAUAUGGAAGAAUACCAGUGGCGAAGGCGGCUCUCUGGUCUGCAACUGACGCUGAGGCUCGAAAGCAUGGGUAGUGAACAGGAUUAGAUACCCUGGUAGUCCAUGCCGUAAACGAUGAGUGCUAAGUGUUGGGAGGCUUCCGCCUCUCAGUGCUGCAGCUAACGCAUUAAGCACUCCGCCUGGGGGAGUACGACCGCAAGG
RNAcentral lists this ribosomal RNA (545 nucleotides) under uncultured bacterium. RNAcentral's name for it is "partial 16S ribosomal RNA". It matches the Rfam family "Bacterial small subunit ribosomal RNA", at positions 357 to 893 of the family's 1533-position model. The record is from RNAcentral.